This is a long non-coding RNA of Cyprinus carpio carpio, 1552 nucleotides long. NCBI's taxonomy places the organism in Eukaryota, Metazoa, Chordata, Actinopteri, Cypriniformes, Cyprinidae. The record is from Ensembl.
CAAGAACCAUUUCUGAUUAUUAUCAAUGUUGAAAACAGUUGUGCUGCUCAAUAUUUUUGUGGAAAACAUCAUACAUUUUAUUUUCCUGGACUGACAGAUAAAUAGAAAUUUCAAAAGAACAGGAUUUAUUUAAAAUAGAAAUCUAACAACACAGGUCUUUCCUAUCACAUUUUGUCAAUUUAACACAUCCUUGCUGAAUAAAUGUAUUAUUUUUUAUCAAAAGAAAUGGAUUUCUAUUUUAAAUAAAUGCUCUUCUUUUCAACUGUUUAAAAAAAUAUUACACAGCACUGUUUUCAAAACUGAUAAUAAAUCAGCAUGUUAGAAUGAUUUCUGAAGGGGAGUAACGGCUGAUGAAAAUUCAGCUUUGCAUCACAGAAAUAAAUUAUAUUUUAACAUAUAUUCACAUGGAAAACAGCUAUUUUAAAUCAGAAUAAUAUUUCACAAUAAUACAGUUUUUUCUGUGUUUUUGAUCAAAUAAGUGCAGCAUUGGUAAGCAGAAGAAAAAUUAAAAAUCUUACUGAUCACAAACUUUUGAAUGGCAGUGUAUACUUUAUAUUACGAUGUGUUCAAGACAAAAUUUCAGUGCAAAAACUGACUGUCUAGCUUGGACUUUCCCCCCCACAAAUUAGCUGUAGAAGUUGAUAUGUUUUAUUGUCCAUUUCUGGUUGAAGCAAACCUCCAUAUUGUAUCAGUCUAUUAUUAUGAGAUUAAAUAUAGGAACCUCUUCUCCAAAUAUAAUGGAUAUUGCAAUGUGUUGAAGACAAAAUCAGUGCAAAAACUGACAUACUUUGUUUAGUCUGUAAUUCAUUCGGUUUGCACAUGUAAACACAGAAAUUACACAAUAUAAUAGUCAUGAUAGUGACUUAUAAAUCCAUGAAAUAAUUGCUAUAUUCAGUCAAAAUCCUGUACAGACUGCUGUUUUUGCAUAACAAUCUCUCCAGACCGCCUCAAGCCCUGCAUGAAAUUUUCAUUGGCAUUUGCUGAAUAACAAACCCUUGUGUAAAAAAAGGCUCGGGCUGUUGUUUCCUUCACUGAGUCACACAUCAGAAAACUGAAGGAAAAUAGGGAGGGGGAAGGGGAUUCAUUUUUGGCUUUACACACUUUCCCUGUAGUGGUCAUGUCUUCUCCCACGAACGCUCUCAUGGCGCUUAUUAGUCGACGUGGGUGGACAAACGCCACCAACAUUUAAAGGGAGUUUACAAUAUUGCACAGCCACUGUGACUUCUAGGCUGUAGGUUAUAUACUGUACAUUUUGUGCUUUGACUGCAUAUGCCUUUUAGAUAAUGUACACAAACUCAAAAGCUUGCAAAAGGAACAAAAAACUAAUUAUCCCAGCAUUGCUAAUUAAAUCUAUAAAGUAAUUGGUUUGCCUGCCAGGACUGUCAAUAUAAAUGUUACAAAAAUUCUUCUUAAUAUAAUUUAAACGGUGCAAAAAAAGUGCAAAGAUCUGCAGAAUGAAUAGAUACGCGAGAAUGUGCACAUAAACACAAUGAAACAGAUUGUCCCUUUCAUCAAAAGUGAGGAGAAGCCUUGAUAUAAAUGUGAACGGUCA